UGGGGAAUCUUGCGCAAUGGCCGCAAGGCUGACGCAGCGACGCCGCGUGGGGAGGAAGGGCUUCGGCUCGUAAACCCCUGUUGCCGGGCUGCAAGCAGCAGGUUCGACCUGCCUGACGGUACCGGGUGAGGAAGCACCGGCUAACUCCGUGCCAGCAGCCGCGGUAAUACGGAGGGUGCGAGCGUUGUCCGGAAUCACUGGGCGUAAAGGGCGCGUAGGUGGCCGAGCAAGGUCGCGGUGAAAGCCCGGGGCUCAACCCCGGGUCGGCCGUGGCAACUACUCGGCUUGAGCACUGUAGGGGCGGGUGGAAUUCCGGGUGUAGCGGUGGAAUGCGUAGAGAUCCGGAAGAACACCGGUGGCGAAGGCGGCCCGCUGGGCAGGAAGGCUCGCAAGAGCCGGCUGACACUGAGGCGCGACAG
RNAcentral lists this ribosomal RNA (419 nucleotides) under uncultured Gemmatimonas sp. Its description in RNAcentral is "bacterial SSU rRNA". It matches the Rfam family "Bacterial small subunit ribosomal RNA", at positions 355 to 759 of the family's 1533-position model. The record is from RNAcentral. Lineage: Bacteria; Pseudomonadati; Gemmatimonadota; Gemmatimonadia; Gemmatimonadales; Gemmatimonadaceae.